RNAcentral lists this ribosomal RNA (563 nucleotides) under Lipomyces starkeyi. Its description in RNAcentral is "partial large subunit ribosomal RNA". It matches the Rfam family "Eukaryotic large subunit ribosomal RNA", at positions 71 to 653 of the family's 3401-position model. Lineage: Eukaryota; Fungi; Ascomycota; Lipomycetes; Lipomycetales; Lipomycetaceae. The record is from RNAcentral.
GGGAUUGCCUUAGUAACUGCGAGUGAAGCGGCAAGAGCUCAAAUUUGAAAUCUGGCACCUUCGGUGUCCGAGUUGUAAUUUGUAGAAGCAUCUUUUGGAUUGGUCCUUGCAUAUGUUCCUUGGAACAGGACAUCAUAGAGGGUGAGAAUCCCGUUCAUGGUGGGGAAUCCAAUUCUUUGUAAAGUGCUUUCGAAGAGUCGAGUUGUUUGGGAAUGCAGCUCUAAGUGGGUGGUAAAUUCCAUCUAAAGCUAAAUAUUGGCGAGAGACCGAUAGCGAACAAGUACAGUGAUGGAAAGAUGAAAAGAACUCCGAAAGGAGAGUGAAAAAGGACGUGAAAUUGUUGAAAGGGAAGUGCUUGAGAUCAGUCUUAAGGUUUAGUGAUCAGUCUUCCUUUUGGUUGGUGCACUCACUAUUUCUUAGGCCAACAUCAGUUUUGGCGGCAGGAUAAUGACAUUGGAAUGUGGCUCUUUCGGGAGUGUUAUAGCCUUUGUUGAUACUGCCUGCUUAGACUGAGGACUGCGCUUUUGCUAGGAUGUUGGCAUAAUGAUCUUAAGCAGCCCGUC